AAAUAUCUUUUAUUGUCAUUUCUCUAGAACCAAGAUGAGACAUUGUAUACCAUCUCAAUUCUGAUGCAUUCAAGUGUUGUUUUAAUUUACAUUAUCAUGACUGGUCUUUUAUCUGACAGUACCUGUGGAUCCUCAUCUUCUUUGCCUGGAAGGCAAAGAGCUGCUUCCUCCUCUGAGGUUCUAGCUUCUUCUGUAUUGGUUGAUGGUGAGAUUUUGAAUGAUUAUAGAGCUUCUUCAGGAGAUUCUGUAAUGUUUUCACCUUAGAGGAAUAGCUUCAUUGUCACUUGCAGAUAGAAGCAUCUGAAGGACCUCACCAUUUACAGGGAAUCUUUUCAUUUGAACUGUAUCCUGGACAUUCUCCAUAAUAUCAGUAAACAUUUUUGAAAAGCGAUGAGUCUGUUAUGCUUUGCUU
Molecule: long non-coding RNA, 412 nt
Filed under: Monodelphis domestica (gray short-tailed opossum)
Lineage: Eukaryota; Metazoa; Chordata; Mammalia; Didelphimorphia; Didelphidae
Description: lncRNA (ENSMODG00000043587.1)
Source: RNAcentral